GUUGGCGUAAAUUCAAUAAUUUGGAAUUUUUCAAAGAAGAAAUUACAUCGGCAUGCCACUAAAUACAAGUGGUUUGUGCACCAGACGCUACCUCCCUAGAGAAAUAUAUUUUUACUCGCCAAACCAGAGAUGAAAUGCGUGAGAAUGAAGAGCUGAAGAAGCUGGCCGAUAUGUGGCUUACCGAUGAUUUCAAGUUCGGAGAAUAUUCGAGAAGGAAACAAUCUAUACCUUAGAGGAAACUGUACAGCGGCUGGAGCUGAUGGCCUACCAACUGCGCUUUUAAAGGGACGCCGAAAAGCUGACAAUGAGAAAAGCAAGGUCAAAGAGAGCUUGCUCUCCUCAUUUCAAAAAAAGAGUAUUUCUUAGAUUUUAAAGCAAUCUAAAAGAGUGUGCAACUGCUGGCGUAUGCCAAGCAAGAUGACGCCCUCAUAGGCCUAGAAAACUGCAAAAAGGACGAAGGGAAUGGGUCUGGUAGUCAACAAAAAUAACUCAAAGUAUCUCCUGUCAUCAAGCAAACACGGUGACUAGGCUCCGACGUCACUGUCUGCGGUUUUAACAUCGAUGUCGAGGCGUAAUUAUUCUGUCUGUCUGCGUUGUAAAUACUUGCUGUGCUUAAGUUUCGGGGUCGCAGCUAGUAUCUUAUCGAAGCGAAGAUGAGCAUCUGCCGUCAACAAAGAUAAGUUAGUUUCAGAAUUCAUGAGCUGCUAUUAUUGUCGAUAACCAGCCCCAGUUGCUUUGACUGAAAGCAUUUGCACACAGUUUCGAUGACCUAGGAGCUUGACAUUGCAUAAAAUACAUUCAGAAACCACUUGAGAAAAAGUGGCUCGACUGAAUUUCCAUCUGCGAAUCGUAGCACAUGGUGACUGGUGAGCAUAGCUGAACCACAUACAGCAAAGUCAAGCGAUAACGGACGGGAUCGAAGGGCAGUGACCCAUAACAAGUGUAUUCCAAUCCAGAAUAGACGGUAAAGAAAGUUUUGUUUUGUGUUUGAUGGAAUCGGCAUGUAAUCAUCCACUUGGAGCUGCUCGUUUACAGCCCAACUCUUAAUUCGAACCUGUACUGUUAGCCAUCGGACCGUGCGAAGGAAGUAAACACCAGGAAGCUGAGAUGAAUUGGAUUUUAUCAGGACAACCUCAGAUCACACAAAUCUAAAGUGACUCACCAAAAGCUCAGAGAGCUGGGUUGCGAGGUUGCUAUGCAUCCACCACAUAGUCGGGGGGCGGAAUAAUUAAAAGAUUCAUAUCUAUUCCUGCCUAUAGAGUAUGAUUCAGCUGGUGAAAUGUCCUUAACAAAAGCCAGACAAAUUCGUUUGCUUAAAUGUUUUUGUCAAUAGAAACAAAAGACCUCAGUUUAAUGCAGAAAUAAUAGAUCGUUCUUUGUUGGAAAAAUACUAAAGAAAUCUGUAGUCAAAAAGGAAUUUAAUAUUGUACAAAAUUAUGACAAAAACACAUCUUUAUAUGAACAUAUUUAAAUUGCUGUUAAAUGAUAGCUAAUGAAUUAAACAUUUCCGACAACCACCGGAUGUGGAUGCCGAAAAAAAAAACAAAUUUGUAAUUUUAUACCGCAAAUGUGGUAUUUCAUAGUGCACAGUGCAGGCUGAAAGUCAUUUUGUAGCUGAUUUAAAGGAGAUAAAGAAAAUUCCAACAAAAGUGAAAUUAAUACGACAGCGUUAAUUUGUUUAGCAACGGUAUAUUUUUCAUAUGUACUUAAAGCUAAUUUUUGGAAAAAUAUAUUUAAUCUUCGGCUUAUUUAUAUUUAUAAGCUUGCAUAUAAUGUUAGUAUGUAUGUAUUUACUGAGCUGCAUAUUUGAGAAGUUAUUUAUCUAAGAAAACCAAUUAAAAUAUUGUAUUUAUCCAUGGAAUGCAUUAGCUUGAUGGUUUUUGCAACAAAAGAAAAAUAAAUAAUUAUAUUAAGUCUUCGGACUAAUUGCGCUUGAUUAAAUAACUUAAAGCAUUAAAUAUAGGCAAAUAUUUGCACCGUAAU
This 1983-nucleotide long non-coding RNA is filed under the name Ceratitis capitata (Mediterranean fruit fly). RNAcentral describes it as "uncharacterized LOC110118762, transcript variant X1". The record is from RNAcentral. Lineage: Eukaryota; Metazoa; Arthropoda; Insecta; Diptera; Tephritidae.